UGUUUUUUGUUUUUAAAUUUGUUCUUAUCCUUCUUUUGGUUGUGGUAGGAGGCAGAGUGUGUCUACCUAUGUGCCUCCAUCUUGGCCACAAGUCUAGAUUGAAUUAUUAAAGUUCAUACUGAGUAUCUUUUGUUAUAUUAUGAUUGUUUGCAAAUUGGUUGUGUACUAUUGUAAAACCAGAGUGCUUAACUAGAAAACCUACCAUUAACCCAGACUUUGCCAAGUAGUAUUUCAGUACUAUUGUCAAAUA
Long non-coding RNA from Phyllostomus discolor (pale spear-nosed bat), 250 nucleotides. RefSeq lists it as uncharacterized. The transcript is spliced from 3 exons. NCBI's taxonomy places the organism in Eukaryota, Metazoa, Chordata, Mammalia, Chiroptera, Phyllostomidae. The record is from RefSeq and is a predicted model, not a curated record.